RNAcentral lists this ribosomal RNA (468 nucleotides) under uncultured bacterium. RNAcentral's name for it is "partial 16S ribosomal RNA". It matches the Rfam family "Bacterial small subunit ribosomal RNA", at positions 28 to 507 of the family's 1533-position model. The record is from RNAcentral.
GACGAACGCUGGCGGCGUGCUUAACACAUGCAAGUCGAACGGAAAGGCCCUGUACUUGUGGGGUGCUCGAGUGGCGAACGGGUGAGUAACACGUGAGUAGCCUGCCCUUGACUUUGGGAUAACUUCAGGAAACUGGGGCUAAUAUCGGAUAUGAGCUCCUGCUGCACGGUGGGGGUUGGUAAGUGUCGGCGGUUGGGGAUUGACUCGCGGCCUAUCAGUUUGUUGGUGGGGUAGUGGCUUACCAAGGCUCUGACGGGUAGCCGGCCUGGGAGGGUGACAGGCCACAUUGGGCCUGAGAUAGGGCCAGGACUCAUACGGGAGGCAGCGGUGAGAGAUAUUGCAAAAUGGGCGGAAGCCUGAUGCAGGGACGCCGCGUGCGGGAUGACGGUCUUCGGGUUAUAACCCGCUUUCGAGUGGGAAGAAGCGUAAGUGACGGUAAUGGGUAAAGAAGCACCGGCUAACUACGUG